UACUAGAGUAGCACUCGCAUAUCAAUAAGCGGAGGAAAAGAAACUAACAAGGAUUCCCCUAGUAACGGCGAGUGAAGCGGGAAGAGCUCAAAUUUGAAAUCUUAAAGGGUUUCCCUUUACGAAUUGUAGUUUAAAGAAGUGUUUUCUGUUGAGGUUUUGGUAAAAGUUCUUUGGAAUAGGACAUCAUAGAGGGUGAGAAUCCCGUAUUUGACCUUUACCUUUCAACUUUGUGAUACACUUUCAAAGAGUCGGAUUGUUUGGGAAUGCAGUCCAAAAUGGGUGGUAAAUUUCAUCUAAAGCUAAAUAUUGGCGAGAGACCGAUAGCGAACAAGUACCGUGAGGGAAAGAUGAAAAGAACUUUGAAAAGAGAGUUAAACAGUACGUGAAAUUGUCAAAAGGGAAGCGUUUGACACCAGUGUUGUUUUCUCUGAAAAUCAAUUAAAGAACUGUUUAUGCUAAGCUGUUUAGACUUUAUCAGCUAUCUGUUUAGUUUUGAGCUUUUCUUUAAUGCACUUUUCAGUUAACAAGUCAACAUCAAUUUCUUUUGCUGUAAAAAAGCUUGAGGAAGGUGGCUUGAGAUUCGUCUUAAGUGUUUAUAGCCUCUUGCCUAUGCAGUCGGAGAGAUUGAGGUCUGCAGCGUAGAUCCUUCGGGGCUAAAUGCAUUUGUGCUAAGUUAUAGCAUUUUAUAGACAACUUGUUGACUAUGAUUUGUCUUGUAGCUCACUCGCUUAUGUUAUUUUACCUACGCUUAGGAUGUUGAGCGCAUGUCUCUCUCU
This 776-nucleotide ribosomal RNA is filed under the name uncultured Neocallimastigales. RNAcentral describes it as "partial large subunit ribosomal RNA". It matches the Rfam family "Eukaryotic large subunit ribosomal RNA", at positions 20 to 642 of the family's 3401-position model. The record is from RNAcentral. Lineage: Eukaryota; Fungi; Neocallimastigomycota; Neocallimastigomycetes; Neocallimastigales.